GACGACGCUGGCGGCGUGCCUAACACAUGCAAGUCGAGCGGAGUCGAUCGACGGAAGCCUUCGGGCGGAAGAUGGUUGACUUAGCGGCGGAUGGGUGAGUAACGCGUGGGCAACCUGCCUCGAAGACCGGGAUAACAGCCCGAAAGGGCCGCUAAUACCGGAUAAUGUCGGGGUACCGCAUGGUACUCCGAAGAAAGGGGAAACCCGCUUUUGGAUGGGCCCGCGUCCCAUCAGCUAGUUGGUGAGGUAACGGCUCACCAAGGCGACGACGGGUAGCCGGUCUGAGAGGAUGGUCGGCCACACUGGGACUGAGACACGGCCCAGACUCCUACGGGAGGCAGCAGUUGGGAAUCUUGGGCAAUGGGCGAAAGCCUGACCCAGCGACGCCGCGUGAGGGAAGAAGGCCUUCGGGUCGUAAACCUCUGUCAUGGGGGAAGAAGCAAGUGACGGUACCCCAAGAGGAAGCCCCUGCUAACUACGUG
RNAcentral lists this ribosomal RNA (482 nucleotides) under uncultured bacterium. RNAcentral describes it as "bacterial SSU rRNA". It matches the Rfam family "Bacterial small subunit ribosomal RNA", at positions 33 to 507 of the family's 1533-position model. The record is from RNAcentral.